AUUGAACGCUGGCGGCAGGCCUAACACAUGCAAGUCGAACGGUAACAGGAAACAGCUUGCUGUUUCGCUGACGAGUGGCGGACGGGUGAUUAAUGUCUGGGAAACUGCCUGAUGGAGGGGGAUAACUACUGGAAACGGUAGCUAAUACCGCAUAACGUCGCAAGACCAAAGAGGGGGACCCUCGGGCCUCUUGCCAUCGGAUGUGCCCAGAUGGGAUUAGCUUGUUGGUGGGGUAACGGCUCACCAAGGCGACGAUCCCUAGCUGGUCUGAGAGGAUGACCAGCCACACUGGAACUGAGACACGGUCCAGACUCCUACGGGAGGCAGCAGUGGGGAAUAUUGCACAAUGGGCGCAAGCCUGAUGCAGCCAUGCCGCGUGUAUGAAGAAGGCCUUCGGGUUGUAAAGUACUUUCAGCGGGGAGGAAGGGAGUAAAGUUAAUACCUUUGCUCAUUGACGUUACCCGCAGAAGAAGCACCGGCUAACUCCGUG
RNAcentral lists this ribosomal RNA (490 nucleotides) under uncultured bacterium. RNAcentral describes it as "partial 16S ribosomal RNA". It matches the Rfam family "Bacterial small subunit ribosomal RNA", at positions 30 to 507 of the family's 1533-position model. The record is from RNAcentral.